GCGGCCAUCGUAUAUCGGUAUUACCCGAGCUUCCCAAGCUCGUGAGACGGGUUCGACUCCCGUUGGCCGCUCCA
This 74-nucleotide transfer RNA is filed under the name Candidatus Omnitrophota bacterium. RNAcentral's name for it is "tRNA-Gly". It matches the Rfam family "tRNA". From Rfam's summary of the family: Transfer RNA (tRNA) molecules are approximately 80 nucleotides in length. Lineage: Bacteria; Pseudomonadati; Candidatus Omnitrophota. The record is from RNAcentral.